This is a long non-coding RNA of Pezoporus flaviventris, 409 nucleotides long. RefSeq lists it as uncharacterized. The transcript has 3 exons. The record is from RefSeq and is a predicted model, not a curated record. Lineage: Eukaryota; Metazoa; Chordata; Aves; Psittaciformes; Psittacidae.
AUGACUGCACCACGGAAGUCCUAAAAGCCUUUCUGUGAUACUUAUCAUCUGGUAGGAAGUGCAUUGCAUAAGAGAAAGGUCAGAGAAAGAAAUUGAUGAUCCCAGCUUGAAAGACUAAAUUGAGGCAGAUCAUCCCUGUGAUGAGAUCAUCCCGUGUACCACCGUUUUCCUCCUAGACGAUAGGAAAAUCAGAAGAGGCCUGUGAAAAAAAGGAUUACAUUUUACUCAUUUUUUUCUUUAGAUAUAUUUCCUUAUGCUGUGAACUGUUUUAAAGAAAAUUUUAUCAUCCAAAAUUAAAAUCAGAUGAAUAGUUUACAAUAAAAGUAUAUAAAAUGUAGUUAUGUUAGUAUGUUUUUAUUACAAAUGCAAAGAAAAUUUGGGGUUAAGUUUUUCAUAAAAUGAUACACUU